Long non-coding RNA from Pseudophryne corroboree (corroboree frog), 209 nucleotides. RefSeq lists it as uncharacterized. The record is from RefSeq and is a predicted model, not a curated record. The transcript is spliced from 4 exons. Lineage: Eukaryota; Metazoa; Chordata; Amphibia; Anura; Myobatrachidae.
CCAUGAUUCUCUAUGGAUUUGAUGUGGGAGAACGCUUAACCCAGGGGCUGCCCUAUGUGUAUCCUCUUGGACCUAUAGUGGCUGAAUGUCCUUUUUGAGAUCCUGCAGCUGUUGACCCUGAGUGGGAGAAUGCCUUAUCCAGGUGUAGUCUUGUGCACACCUUUCCAGACCCAUAGCAGUGGUUUGGUUGCAGAGCUGUGAUUAUAUGG